This 1086-nucleotide transfer RNA is filed under the name Merceyopsis cataractae. Its description in RNAcentral is "Scopelophila cataractae tRNA-Ser". The stretch from base 1001 to 1086 matches the Rfam family "tRNA". Lineage: Eukaryota; Viridiplantae; Streptophyta; Bryopsida; Pottiales; Pottiaceae. The record is from RNAcentral.
AUUGCAGGAAUUGUGCUUUUCUUUUUAAAAAAGAUUUUAAAUCUUUUUAGAAAUAAAAUUACUGGGCAAAUUUUUAUUUAAUAAAAAUUUUGAAGACCCUUUAACUAUAUUUAAGUUAAUUAUAAAACGAAUCACACUUUUACCACUAAACUAUACCCGCUAGUAAAAUAUUAUACUAUAAUUUUUGUUUUUUGUUAAAAUUUUUUUUUUAUUUUUGAUAUUUUUUCAUUUAAACUCCAUCUCCGGAAAUUUAAUACUUAAAAAAGUUAUUUUCUUAUUUCCGGAGAUGGUUUUUAAAAUUAUAAAUUGCCUUUACGUGCUGCUAAUAAAGCAAUUACUAAAGGACCUGAACCAACUAUUAAAGCCAAAGCAGUAAGCUGUGCAAUAACUUCUAAAUUCAUUUUGAAUUCACCUCUAUGUUUUCAAAUUAAUUUUAUUAAUUAUAAAAAAAAAUUUUAAUUUUGUUAAAAAAAUAUCUAUAGCAAUAUAGAAUUAAGAUCAGUACAAUAAUAAAGAGUUUAUUCAUUUAAAAACUUAUUUAAUUAAUAAAAUUUUAUUAAUUAUUAAUUUUUAAUUAAUAUCAAAUUUAAUAUAAAAAUAAAAAUUUUGAAUAAAUUUGUUAUUUAUAUUAUAAAUUAUUAGGAGAAAAAAAAAUGACAUCAAUUUCAGACAGUCAAAUUAUUGUAGCUCUCGUCAGUGCUUUUAUAACAGGUAUUUUGGCUUUAAGAUUAGGUAAAAAUUUAUAUCAAUAAUUUAAUUUAUUUUUUAUUUGUUUUACAAAAGGAUAACCUGGCCAGUACAAAUAUCUGGCUAGGCCUAAAUAAAAAAUCUAAUUAAAUUAAAAUUUUUUGAUUAAAAUCAAAAAAUUUUAUUGUAUUUUACUGAAAUAAAUUCUUCGAUUUUAUAAUUUAUAUAUUUGUAUAUAUAAACAAAAAAUACAUAAUCUAAUAUUAUUAGUAUAUAGACUUCUACUUAUACAACAUGUUAUGAUUUUUUGUCUGGAGAGAUGGCCGAGUGGUCUAAAGCGAUGGAUUGCUAAUCCGUUGUGCAUUUUUUGUACCGAGGGUUCGAAUCCCUCUCUCUCCU